This 1018-nucleotide long non-coding RNA is filed under the name Daucus carota (carrot). RNAcentral's name for it is "long non-coding RNA (DCAR_LNC002110)". Lineage: Eukaryota; Viridiplantae; Streptophyta; Magnoliopsida; Apiales; Apiaceae. The record is from RNAcentral.
AUGAUUAGAUAAUUUAUAAUGUUUAGUCAAAAAUUGGUCAAUUUGACUCCUUCAAAACCAAAAUGGACAUGUAAAGGGGACGAAGGGAGUAGCACUCAGGAAUGGAUAACUACAACAUUUCUAGAAUUCAAGAAAUCCAGGAUAGGGCUAUUGCAAGAAGAAGAGCAGCUAAAUAACAUAUACUUAAAAUGAAAAUUCACAGAGAUUAAAAAGUAGUAUUUUGAGUUUUCAUCAGCAGAACGCAUCAAUAUCGCCAGCGUAAAUAGCAAUUUUUUGACUAAUAAGCAAUCCAGUACGUAGAGGCCGUAGUUUCCACAUACACAUAAACAUUGGGUUAUAUAUCAAACUAACCACCCAUUACAUCAAAAUGUCUCACUUUACCCACCCAUCUCAUCGGAGACUCGUUUAAGCCACUAUAAACCAAAUAUAUAUCAUUUUACUCACAUCCCUAUUUAUACCUAUUUACUUAAUCAUUUAUAAAAAAUCAACCGUUUGUUUUUUUACUACAAAACCACCUUGAGUACCUUCAUAAUUGUCUCUAUCAUUUAUCAAAAUAAUUUAAAAAUUUCCAAGGCAACAUACUUAGGGUGACCACAUAAAUAUAUAUAUUUAUUUCUAAAUAUUUUUUUUAAUAAAUAGCUAUGUUGCUUUAUUAAUUUCCAAAUUAUUUUGAUAAAUACUAGAGACAAUUAUGAAGGUACUAGAGGUGGUUUUGUAGCAAAAAAACAAAUGAUUAAUUUUUGAUAAAUGAUUAAAUAAAAAAGUAUGAAUAGUAUUGUGGGUAAAAUAAUAUAUAUUUUGUUUACGGUGGCUCAAACGAGUCCCCGAUGGGAUGGGUGGGUAAAGUGAGACAUUUUGACGUAAUGGGUGGCCAGUUUGAUAUAAAACCCCAUAAACAUUUCAGUUGCUACUACGAUUCUCUAAUAGCUUAUCACUCGCAUGAAUUUACACAGUGAAGUGAUAAAGUUAUCUUCCCUCUUGAUAUCCUGAAACAUAAGAGUCCCAUAUAUUUUUUUUU